Molecule: ribosomal RNA, 460 nt
Filed under: uncultured bacterium
Lineage: Bacteria
Description: partial 16S ribosomal RNA
Rfam family: Bacterial small subunit ribosomal RNA
Source: RNAcentral
CCUACGGGCGGCAGCAGUGAGGAAUAUUGGUCAAUGGGCGCGAGCCUGAACCAGCGAAGUAGCGUGAAGGAUGACUGCCCUACGGGUUGUAAACUUCGUUUAUAAAGGAAUAAAGUGAGGCACGUGUGCCUUUUUGUAUGUACUGUAUGAAGAAGGAUCGGCUAAGUCCGUGCCAACAGCCGCGGUAAUAAGGAGGAUCCGAGCGUUAUACGGAUUUAUUGGGUUGAAAGGGAGCGUAGAUGGGUUGUUAAGUCAGUUGUGAAAGUUUGCGGCUCAAACGUAAAAUUGCAAUGGAUACUGGCAGUCUUGAGUACAGUAGAGGUAGGCGGAAUUCGUGGUGUAGCGGUGAAAUGCUUAGAUAGCACGAAGAACUCCGAUUGCGAAGGCAGCUUACUAAACUGCCACUGACAUUGAUGCUCGAAAGUGUGGGUAUCAAACAGGAUUAGAUACCCGUGUAGUC